GACAGAGGGGGCAAGCGUUGCUCGGAAUUACUGGGCGUAAAGGGCGCGUAGGCGGGAUGGUAAGUCGGUCGUGAAAUCCCUCGGCUCAACCGAGGAACGUCGAUCGAUACUACCGUUCUUGAGGAUUGCAGAGGAGACUGGAAUUCCCGGUGUAGCGGUGAAAUGUGUAGAGAUCGGGAGGAACACCGGUGGCGAAGGCGGGUCUCUGGGCAAUUCCUGACGCUGAGGCGCGAAAGCGUGGGGAGCAAACGGG
This 253-nucleotide ribosomal RNA is filed under the name uncultured bacterium. RNAcentral describes it as "partial 16S ribosomal RNA". It matches the Rfam family "Bacterial small subunit ribosomal RNA", at positions 524 to 776 of the family's 1533-position model. The record is from RNAcentral.